UUAAAUCAUUAAAUUUAAAAGAUUUGGCGGUAUUUUAUAAAAUUAGAGGAACCUGUGUAUUAAUUGAUGAUCCACGAUAAGAUAAACUUAAAUAUUUAUGUAUUGCUGUUUGAAAAUUAUUAUUAAUUAAAUGUUUAAAAUAUUAUUUUAAUAUAAUUCAAGUCAAAAUAUAGUUUAAUUAAGAUAUGGGUUACAAUUAAAAAUUGAAAUUGGAUUUAAUAGUAA
This 225-nucleotide ribosomal RNA is filed under the name Apoica albimacula. RNAcentral's name for it is "partial small subunit ribosomal RNA". Lineage: Eukaryota; Metazoa; Arthropoda; Insecta; Hymenoptera; Vespidae. The record is from RNAcentral.